ACUAUUGCGUAACGCCCCUUUCUCACCGCAAAAUAAAGUAUUACCAUAUAUAUAUGAUACAUGUGUGGUGCAAUAAAAGCUGACGAAUGUGCUACUUGUACGUCAAUGCAAUAAAACUAAACAAAUAUAUUUGCACAUUAGCAAUUAAUAUGAAAAUAGAAAAGAAAUGCAAGAAAAACAUUCUGUAUCAAGAACACACGGGACAAAGUAACAUGUUUAAACGUUGGACGAUCACUUUUUGUAAACAGGUGAUAUCUUUAAAACUCCUAUUGGAAAGUUCUGUUACUACCAGUUUGCUUGGUUUUGUUUGCGCAUGUCUAUUAAUGUACGUAUCAGGUAUCAGUUGUCCAGCAAUCCUAACCAUAGAGAUACUAAUAUAUAACACUAGAGGAGGCACCGCCAUUCAAAGGGCCGCGGAACUGUGUUGCAAAUUGAAGCCUAAUUUGCCAUGCAAGUUAUGUUGCCAGAUGAAAAAAAAAAACUAUUUUUUUUUGUAUUUGGUAAAAACUUUGAUUUAAUAAGUGGUAGCAUACGUUAGUAAAAUGUUAAAAAUUGUUUGAAACUUUUUUUUCGUUACAUCACAAUUAUAUAGAGAAAUACACGCAUGCAGCAUUUAACGGUGUGUAUUUUUGGUCAACACUAAUAGUGUAACAGUUACUAAGCCAACCCUUAUAUAUAUCUAUGAGGCAAUCGCAGAAAUUGUGAAUCAACAAAUUUUGUAUUUGAAGGAAUUGCAGGAUGGUGUUAUCAUGCGUUGCAUGGGGCUGCACCAAUAGAAAAACCAAGGAUUGUGCACUAAGUUUCCACAGGUCUGCUUAUAGUUGUUGUUGUAUAAACGGUUGACUGUGCUCUGGUUCAGAUUUAAUGAUAUAAAGAUACCCGAAUUUAACUGUAAUGAAUAAAGAUUAAAUAUUAAACAACGCUGUAUAGUGAAAAUAAAUGUAUGGCUGUAAUGGAAUGUACUUUCCCUUCAUUCCAAUCGUGAUCAUAAACAAUUACCCCAUUUUGUGUAUGCCAGUUGAAGCCAUUAACCCAUGCCAUAAGGUGUUUAUUAUUUUGUGACACAUGUUUUCCGUUAUAUAUACCUUGUUUUUUUUUGUAUUGGGAGACAGUACGGACGAAGUAGUUCCUGUGCUGUUUUCACUUUUGUCUCAAGCUUCGUACAAUAAACUGAGCUAGCUUACAAUGCAAUACAACGUCUUACAAUCAUGAUUUGUGGAGUCGGAUAGAAUGUAUGUUGGGGGAAAACAGCGAUAUUCACAUAGUAUUACACCCCCACAACAUUAUUAGUACAA
Non-coding RNA from Ciona intestinalis (vase tunicate), 1295 nucleotides. The record is from RefSeq and is a predicted model, not a curated record. Lineage: Eukaryota; Metazoa; Chordata; Ascidiacea; Phlebobranchia; Cionidae.